AGAAUCAACGCUGGCGGCGUGCCUAACACAUGCAAGUCGCACGAGAAGGGGUAGCAAUACCUGAGUAAAGUGGCGCACGGGUGAGUAACACGUGACUAAUCUACCCUCGAGUGGGGAAUAACUGAGAGAAAUCUUAGCUAAUACCGCAUAACACCUACGAGUCAAAGCAGCAAUGCGCUUGGGGAGGAGGUCGCGGCCGAUUAGCUAGUUGGCGGGGUUAAUGGCCCACCAAGGCGAUGAUCGGUA
This 246-nucleotide ribosomal RNA is filed under the name uncultured bacterium. RNAcentral's name for it is "partial small subunit ribosomal RNA". It matches the Rfam family "Bacterial small subunit ribosomal RNA", at positions 26 to 285 of the family's 1533-position model. The record is from RNAcentral.